GAGCGAUCAUAAGGGAGCUGACUGCAAAUCUGCCGUCAUCGACUUCAAGGUUCGACUCGAGCAAUAGUGAGAGAACGUUGCCGCAGGCAACGGCCCGAAGGGUGAGGAGCUUUAGCUCCGAAUAAUCCUUCCCGCAAUAGAA
This 142-nucleotide small RNA is filed under the name Salmonella enterica subsp. enterica serovar Chester. Its description in RNAcentral is "RtT sRNA". It matches the Rfam family "RtT RNA". Rfam says of the family: This family represents a bacterial cis-regulatory element known as RtT RNA. The exact function of RtT is unknown although it is thought that it may be involved in changing the cellular response in relation to amino acid starvation. Lineage: Bacteria; Pseudomonadati; Pseudomonadota; Gammaproteobacteria; Enterobacterales; Enterobacteriaceae. The record is from RNAcentral.